UUGCUUCGGCAGCACAUUUACUAAAAUCGUAAUGAGGAACAAUAUCGAGAUUAGCAUGGUCCCUAUGCAAGGAUGACACGCAAAUUCUUGACACAUUCCAUAUUUUU
Rattus rattus (black rat) is the source of this 107-nucleotide small nuclear RNA. Lineage: Eukaryota; Metazoa; Chordata; Mammalia; Rodentia; Muridae. The record is from RefSeq and is a predicted model, not a curated record.